This 253-nucleotide ribosomal RNA is filed under the name uncultured bacterium. Its description in RNAcentral is "partial 16S ribosomal RNA". It matches the Rfam family "Bacterial small subunit ribosomal RNA", at positions 524 to 776 of the family's 1533-position model. The record is from RNAcentral.
UAUGAAGGGGGCUAGCGUUGCUCGGAAUCACUGGGCGUAAAGCGCACGUAGGCGGCUUUUUAAGUCAGGGGUGAAAUCCUGGAGCUCAACUCCAGAACUGCCUUUGAUACUGAGAGGCUCGAGUCCGGGAGAGGUGAGUGGAACUGCGAGUGUAGAGGUGAAAUUCGUAGAUAUUCGCAAGAACACCAGUGGCGAAGGCGGCUCACUGGCCCGGUACUGACGCUGAGGUGCGAAAGCGUGGGGAGCAAACAGG